RNAcentral lists this ribosomal RNA (501 nucleotides) under uncultured bacterium. RNAcentral describes it as "partial 16S ribosomal RNA". It matches the Rfam family "Bacterial small subunit ribosomal RNA", at positions 30 to 523 of the family's 1533-position model. The record is from RNAcentral.
AUUGAACGCUGGCGGCAGGCUUAACACAUGCAAGUCGAGCGGGGGAAGGUAGCUUGCUACCGGACCUAGCGGCGGACGGGUGAGUAAUGCUUAGGAAUCUGCCUAUUAGUGGGGGACAACAUCUCGAAAGGGAUGCUAAUACCGCAUACGUCCUACGGGAGAAAGCAGGGGAUCUUCGGACCUUGCGCUAAUAGAUGAGCCUAAGUCGGAUUAGCUAGUUGGUGGGGUAAAGGCCUACCAAGGCGACGAUCUGGAGCGGGUCUGAGAGGGUGAUCCGCCACACUGGGACUGAGACACGGCCCAGACUCCUACGGGAGGCAGCAGUGGGGAAUAUUGGACAAUGGGGGGAACCCUGAUCCAGCCAUGCCGCGUGUGUGAAGAAGGCCUUAUGGUUGUAAAGCACUUUAAGCGAGGAGGAGGCUACUCUAGUUAAUACCUAGGGAUAGUGGACGUUACUCGCAGAAUAAGCACCGGCUAACUCCGUGCCAGCAGCCGCCGUAA